GACGAACGCUGGCGGCGUGCUUAACACAUGCAAGUCGAGCGGUAAGGCCCUUUCGGGGGUACACGAGCGGCGAACGGGUGAGUAACACGUGGGUGACCUGCCCUCAGCUCUGGGAUAAGCCUGGGAAACCGGGUCUAAUACUGGAUAUGACUCCAUGACGCAUGUUGUGGGGUGGAAAGCCUUGUGCGGCUGAGGAUGGGGCCCCGC
This 207-nucleotide ribosomal RNA is filed under the name uncultured bacterium. RNAcentral's name for it is "partial 16S ribosomal RNA". It matches the Rfam family "Bacterial small subunit ribosomal RNA", at positions 28 to 234 of the family's 1533-position model. The record is from RNAcentral.